RNAcentral lists this ribosomal RNA (492 nucleotides) under uncultured bacterium. Its description in RNAcentral is "partial 16S ribosomal RNA". It matches the Rfam family "Bacterial small subunit ribosomal RNA", at positions 29 to 507 of the family's 1533-position model. The record is from RNAcentral.
AGUGAACGCUGGCGGUAGGCCUAACACAUGCAAGUCGAACGGCAGCACAGUAAGAGCUUGCUCUUACGGGUGGCGAGUGGCGGACGGGUGAGGAAUACAUCGGAAUCUACUUUUUCGUGGGGGAUAACGUAGGGAAACUUACGCUAAUACCGCAUACGACCUACGGGUGAAAGCAGGGGAUCUUCGGACCUUGCGCGAUUGAAUGAGCCGAUGUCGGAUUAGCUAGUUGGCGGGGUAAAGGCCCACCAAGGCGACGAUCCGUAGCUGGUCUGAGAGGAUGAUCCGCCACACUGGAACUGAGACACGGUCCAGACUCCUACGGGAGGCAGCAGUGGGGAAUAUUGGACAAUGGGCGCAAGCCUGAUCCAGCCAUACCGCGUGGGUGAAGAAGGCCUUCGGGUUGUAAAGCCCUUUUGUUGGGAAAGAGAAGCAGCAGGUUAAUACCCCGCUGUUCUGACGGUACCCAAAGAAUAAGCACCGGCUAACUUCGUG